Molecule: ribosomal RNA, 614 nt
Filed under: Thalassobius sp. M108
Lineage: Bacteria; Pseudomonadati; Pseudomonadota; Alphaproteobacteria; Rhodobacterales; Roseobacteraceae
Description: bacterial SSU rRNA
Rfam family: Bacterial small subunit ribosomal RNA
Source: RNAcentral
GGUUAGUAACGCGUGGGAAUAUACCCGACACUAAGGAAUAGCCUCUGGAAACGGAGAGUAAUACCUUAUACGCCCUUCGGGGGAAAGAUUUAUCGGUGACGGAUUAGCCCGCGUUAGAUUAGAUAGUUGGUGGGGUAAUGGCCUACCAAGUCUACGAUCUAUAGCUGGUUUUAGAGGAUGAUCAGCAACACUGGGACUGAGACACGGCCCAGACUCCUGCGGGAGGCAGCAGUGGGGAAUCUUGGACAAUGGGCGCAAGCCUGAUCCAGCCAUGCCGCGUGAGUGAUGAAGGCCUUAGGGUCGUAAAGCUCUUUCGCCAGAGAUGAUAAUGACAGUAUCUGGUAAAGAAACCCCGGCUAACUCCGUGCCAGCAGCCGCGGUAAUACGGAGGGGGUUAGCGUUGUUCGGAAUUACUGGGCGUAAAGCGCGCGUAGGCGGGCUAGUAAGUUAGAGGUGAAAUCCCGGGGCUCAACCCCGGAACUGCCUUUAAUACUGCUAGUCUUGAGUUCGAGAGAGGUGAGUGGAAUUCCGAGUGUAGAGGUGAAAUUCGUAGAUAUUCGGAGGAACACCAGUGGCGAAGGCGGCUCACUGGCUCGAUACUGACGCUGAGGUGC